Molecule: ribosomal RNA, 684 nt
Filed under: Stenotrophomonas sp. M67C9a
Lineage: Bacteria; Pseudomonadati; Pseudomonadota; Gammaproteobacteria; Lysobacterales; Lysobacteraceae
Description: bacterial SSU rRNA
Rfam family: Bacterial small subunit ribosomal RNA
Source: RNAcentral
UGCAGUCGAACGGCAGCACAGUAAGAGCUUGCUCUUAUGGGUGGCGAGUGGCGGACGGGUGAGGAAUACAUCGGAAUCUACCUUUUCGUGGGGGAUAACGUAGGGAAACUUACGCUAAUACCGCAUACGACCUUCGGGUGAAAGCAGGGGACCUUCGGGCCUUGCGCGGAUAGAUGAGCCGAUGUCGGAUUAGCUAGUUGGCGGGGUAAAGGCCCACCAAGGCGACGAUCCGUAGCUGGUCUGAGAGGAUGAUCAGCCACACUGGAACUGAGACACGGUCCAGACUCCUACGGGAGGCAGCAGUGGGGAAUAUUGGACAAUGGGCGCAAGCCUGAUCCAGCCAUACCGCGUGGGUGAAGAAGGCCUUCGGGUUGUAAAGCCCUUUUGUUGGGAAAGAAAAGCAGUCGGCUAAUACCCGGUUGUUCUGACGGUACCCAAAGAAUAAGCACCGGCUAACUUCGUGCCAGCAGCCGCGGUAAUACGAAGGGUGCAAGCGUUACUCGGAAUUACUGGGCGUAAAGCGUGCGUAGGUGGUUGUUUAAGUCUGUUGUGAAAGCCCUGGGCUCAACCUGGGAAUUGCAGUGGAUACUGGGCGACUAGAGUGUGGUAGAGGGUAGUGGAAUUCCCGGUGUAGCAGUGAAAUGCGUAGAGAUCGGGAGGAACAUCCAUGGCGAAGGCAGCUAC